AUGGGGAAACAAGGGCCCAGAGAUACUCAACCUUGCCUGAGGUCACAUAGUUAUAAGCAAGAUUCAAGUGAAUGAAUUAAAGAAGUACAAGACCGGAAACUGAAGAGUACAUAAGGCAGGGGAAGGAUAAUCACGUCCACCUUGCAGAGUUUGUGCAGAGAUGAGACAAUGCAUGUGGAAUGCCUGGCCCACAGAGGACCGUGAGUACAUUAUAGUCUGCCUCUUAGUCUAGUGAAGCCAAAGGCUUUGUUGACCAAAGAUGUCAGAUGAGAGCUCACUUAGCCAAUGGGCAUAAGGGAAUCCUGAAUUUAUG
Odocoileus virginianus texanus is the source of this 313-nucleotide non-coding RNA. The record is from RefSeq and is a predicted model, not a curated record. Lineage: Eukaryota; Metazoa; Chordata; Mammalia; Artiodactyla; Cervidae.